GAGUUUGAUCAUGGCUCAGGAUGAACGCCGGCGGUGUGCCUAAUACAUGCAAGUCGUACGCACUGGCCCAACUGGUUGAUGGUGCUUGCACCUGAUCGACGAUGGAUCACCAGUGAGUGGCGGACGGGUGAGUAACACGUAGGUAACCUGCCCUGUACAGGGGAUAACAAUCAGAAAUGACUGCUAAUACCGCAUAAGACCACAGCACCGCAUGGUGCAGGGGUAAAAACUCCGGUGGUACAGGAUGGACCCGCGUCUGAUUAGCUGGUUGGUGAGGUAACGGCUCACCAAGGCGACGAUCAGUAGCCGGCUUGAGAGAGUGAACGGCCACAUUGGGACUGAGACACGGCCCAAACUCCUACGGGAGGCAGCAGUGGGGAAUAUUGCACAAUGGGGAAACCCUGAUGCAGCAACGCCGCGUGAGUGAAGAAGUAUUUCGGUAUGUAAAGCUCUAUCAGCAGGGAAGAAAGUGACGGUACCUGACUAAGAAGCCCGGCUAACUACG
This 505-nucleotide ribosomal RNA is filed under the name uncultured microorganism. RNAcentral describes it as "bacterial SSU rRNA". It matches the Rfam family "Bacterial small subunit ribosomal RNA", at positions 9 to 505 of the family's 1533-position model. The record is from RNAcentral.